UUGCCAGACUCCUACGGGAGGCAGCAGUGGGGAAUAUUGCACAAUGGGGGGAACCCUGAUGCAGCGACGCCGCGUGGGUGAAGGAGCACCUCGGUGCGUAAAGCCCUAUCGGCAGGGAAGAAACAGACGGUACCUGACUAAGAAGCCCCGGCUAACUACGUGCCAGCAGCCGCGGGAAUACGUAGGUGGCAAGCGUUGUCCGGAUUUACUGGGUGUAAAGGGCGUGUAGGCGGGAAAGCAAGUCAGAUGUGAAAACCAUGGGCUCAACCUGUGGCCUGCAUUUGAAACUGUUUUUCUUGAGUACUGGAGAGGCAGACGGAAUUCCUAGUGUAGCGGUGAAAUGCGUAGAUAUUAGGAGGAACACCAGUGGCGAAGGCGGUCUGCUGGACAGCAACUGACGCUGAGGCGCGAAAGCGUGGGGAGCAAACAGGAUUAGAUACCCCAGUA
RNAcentral lists this ribosomal RNA (447 nucleotides) under uncultured bacterium. Its description in RNAcentral is "bacterial SSU rRNA". It matches the Rfam family "Bacterial small subunit ribosomal RNA", at positions 328 to 792 of the family's 1533-position model. The record is from RNAcentral.